AUUAACACAACUAUUGUUUUCCCCAGAACACAAGAGAUGCACAGGACAAAUGUGAUCCCAAAGGCAGUGUGGCGCAACAUACAGGACCACUCAGAGGGCUGGCCAAUGAAAAACACAAGAGAGGCACAGGACAAAUGUGAUCCCAAAGGCAGUGUGGCGCAACAUACAGGACCACUCAGAGGGCUGGCCAAUGAAAAACACAAGAGAUGCACAGGACAAAUAUGAUCCCAAAGGCAGUGUGGCGCAAC
Acipenser ruthenus (sterlet) is the source of this 248-nucleotide long non-coding RNA. RefSeq lists it as uncharacterized. Lineage: Eukaryota; Metazoa; Chordata; Actinopteri; Acipenseriformes; Acipenseridae. The transcript has 3 exons. The record is from RefSeq and is a predicted model, not a curated record.